RNAcentral lists this long non-coding RNA (494 nucleotides) under Capsicum annuum. Its description in RNAcentral is "long non-coding RNA (CANN_LNC020836)". Lineage: Eukaryota; Viridiplantae; Streptophyta; Magnoliopsida; Solanales; Solanaceae. The record is from RNAcentral.
CACGCCAAACUCAAACUGUCAAACAGGACAAAGGAAGUAGUCUCCAUUUGCAUUUUACAAUUUGGCAAUUAACGCUUCAUUUUAGUCAAGUAGGCCCCCUCCCAUUCAAUUUCGUGGCGCUCACUACUUGUCAAUCAACUUAUAAAACUACUCAUUUCUCCAUCUUCAUUACCCCUCUUUCAUUUUUGUCUUUCGUACAGCUCCUCUCAAUUAUGGCGGCUGCAGCGCCCCCUCCUCCUCCUUUCACCAAAACCCUAUCUCAUUCCCCUUCCUCCUCCGCCAAAUCCCCCACUCUUCUCCCUAGAUCCACCUUCCCUUUUACCCGGCCCCUUCUCCUUAUCCACCGCCGUCGUUUCACGGUCAACAAUGUCAUUUCCACUAAUCAUAACGUUUCCCUUUCUCAACCACCCGAAACAUUUAUUACCCGUUUUGCCCCUGACGAGCCCCGAAAAGGCUGCGACGUUCUCGUGGAAGCACUCGAAAGAGAAGGGGUU